UCUCUCUCUCUCUUUCUGCUUUUUAACUUUUCUUCUUCUUCUUCGUCUCUCUCUCUCUCUCUCUCUCUCUGUCUCUGUGUCUGUAAAAAGAAUUGAAUUGCUAGCUAUUCGGGAUUCUUUCCUCUUUCUGUCUCUAGACCCGACUUUCCUUUCCUCUCCGUCUACCCUUUUUCUCCGCUCAACUUUCUGUCAAGCAAAAAUCCACCCCCCGAAUUCGAUUGGAUUCUCUUCAUCAGCUCAGCAAGCUCAAGAUUGGAUCUUUCAACUUCCAGUGAUAUUCCUCUUUCUCGAAGUGAAACUCGCAGAGACUGAGAAAGACAACUUCAAAAUAAAUCAGUAUGGCAGUUUCCAUGAGAGACUUGGAUCCAGCUUUUCAAGGGGCUGGACAGAAGGCUGGAAUUGAGAUAUGGCGCAUUGAAAACUUCCACCCGGUUCCUGUUCCCAAGUCUUCUCAUGGGAAAUUUUUCACAGGCGAUUCAUAUGUUAUUUUGGUGACAGCUGCACUAAAGAAUGGCGCCUUGCGUCAUGAUAUUCACUAUUGGCUCGGAAAGGACACUUCACAGGAUGAAGCUGGAACUGCAGCUAUCAAAACAGUUGAACUAGAUGCAGCCCUAGGAGGACGUGCUGUACAAUAUAGGGAAGUACAGGGUCAUGAGACCGAGAAGUUCUUGUCCUAUUUUAAGCCAUGUAUAAUACCCCAAGAAGGCGGUAUUGCAUCCGGUUUCAAACACGCCGAGGCCGAAGAGCACAAGAUACGAUUGUUUGUUUGCAGAGGAAAGCAUGUUGUCCAUGUGAAAGAGGUUCCGUUUGCGCGAUCUUCUCUCAAUCACGACGAUAUUUUUAUUCUGGACACAAAAUUGAAGAUAUUUCAAUUUAAUGGGUCAAAUUCGUCCAUUCAAGAAAGAGCCAAAGCACUGGAGGUUGUUCAGUACAUUAAAGAUACUUAUCACGAUGGGAAAUGUGAUGUAGCCGCAAUUGAGGAUGGGAAACUAAUGGCUGAUGCUGAAACUGGAGAGUUCUGGGCCUUUUUUGGUGGCUUCGCUCCUCUUCCAAGAAAAGCAGUCGGAGAAGACGAUAAGACCAUUGAUUCUUAUGCUACCAAGCUGCUUUGUGUGGAGAAGGGGAAGGCAGAACCUGUGGAGGCUGAAGCAUUAACAAGGGAGUUGCUAAAUACGAACAAAUGUUAUCUUCUUGAUUGUGGGUUAGAAGUGUUCGUGUGGAUGGGGAGAACCACCUCCCUCGAGGACAGGAAGUGUGCCAGUGCCGCUGCCGAAGAGUUGCUUCGUACUCCUGAUCACCCACAAUCACAUAUAAUCCGUGUCAUUGAAGGAUUUGAGACGGUGGUCUUCCGGUCAAAGUUUGCCUCGUGGCCCCAAACGGCUGAUGUGGCUGUUUCUGAGGAUGGAAGAGGCAAAGUUGCAGCGCUUCUGAAACGUCAAGGAGUCAAUGUUAAAGGUCUGAUGAAGGCUGCUCCUGUUAAAGAAGAACCUCAACCGUACAUUGACUGCACUGGAAAUCUUCAGGUUUGGCGAGUAAAUGGGCAGGAGAAGAUUCUACUUCCAUCCUCUGAUCAGUCAAAGUUCUAUAGUGGAGACUGCUACAUCUUUCAGUAUUCUUACCCAGGAGAAGAUAAAGAGGAAUACCUCAUAGGCACAUGGUUCGGGAAGAAAAGUGUUGAGGAAGAUAGAACUUCUGCUGUUUCACAAGCUAAUAAGAUGAUCGAGGCUUUGAAAUACCUUCCUGCUCAGGCUCGAAUAUACGAAGGGAAGGAACCCAUACAGUUCUUUGCCAUCUUCCAAAGCUUCAUCACUUUCAAGGGAGGACUUAGUGAUGGAUAUAAGAGUUAUGUUGCUGAGAAGGAAAUUCCUGAUGAGACUUAUAAGGAGGACGGCAAUGCCUUAUUUAGAAUCCAGGGAACUGGUCCUGACAAUAUGCAAGCAAUUCAAGUUGAAGCAGUUGCAUCAUCUUUGAAUUCCUCGUACUGUUACAUACUACAUGCUGGGGCCACCGUAUUCACAUGGUCUGGGAACCUGACAACUUCCGAGGAUCAGGAACUCCUUGAGAGGCAGCUCGAUGUCAUAAAGCCAAAUGUCCAAUGUAAAACACAAAAGGAAGGUGCCGAGUCGGAACAUUUUUGGGAGUUGUUAGGAGGAAAAUCCGAAUACCCAUCUCAAAAGAUUGCACGAGAUGCUGAAAGUGAUCCUCACCUGUUUUCUUGCACUUUCUCAAAAGGAAUUUUAAAGGUGACGGAAAUAUACAACUUCACACAGGAUGAUUUGAUGACUGAAGACAUAUUUAUCCUCGAUUGCCACACCGAGAUAUUCGUAUGGGUUGGUCAACAAGUUGACUCCAAGUUGAGAGCCCAUGCUUUGACUAUCGGGGAGAAAUUUCUUGAGCGUGACUUUCUCUUGGAGAAUCUGUCCAGGGAAGCUCCAAUAUAUGUGGUAUCUGAAGGAAGCGAGCCCCCAUUUUUCACACGCUUCUUUACAUGGGACUCCGCAAAAUCUGCAAUGCAUGGUAACUCAUUCCAGAGGAAACUUACCAUAGUGAAGCACGGUGGUACUCCAUCUGUAGAUAAACCUAAACGAAGAACGUCUGUUUCAUAUGGAGGAAGAUCGAGCAUGCCUGACAAAUCUUCUCAGCGAUCAAGAAGCAUGUCUUUUAGCCCUGACCGAGUUCGCGUGAGGGGGAGAUCUCCAGCUUUCAACGCACUUGCUGCCACUUUUGAGAACCCAAAUGCGAGAAACCUCUCCACUCCGCCCCCAGUUGUGAGGAAGCCCUACCCAAAAUCUGUGACCCCUGACUCAGCAAAAUCGGCUUCCAAAUCUUCGUCUAUUUCUGCUCUCAGUGCCACUUUUGAGAAAUCUCCCCCAGUACGAGAAGUUAUCAUACCCAAAUCUAUUAAAGUGAGUCCAAAGAGUCUAGAGGUGCCUAAAUCAACCCCAGACUCGAACUCCAAAGAGAAUUCCAUGAGCAAUCGUAUAGGGUCCCUGACUAUUGAGGAGGAUGUCAAAGAGGGUGAAGCUGAGGACGAGGAAGGGCUCACCUUGCACCCCUACGAACAUCUUAAAACGACAUCAACCAAUCCUGUGACAGACAUAGAUGUCACCAAGAGAGAGACUUAUCUUUCAUCAGCAGAGUUCAGGGAGAAGUUCGGAAUGACGAAAGAGGCUUUCUAUAAGCUGCCGAAAUGGAGACAGAACAAGCUUAAGAUGGCACUUCUGUUGUUUUGAGUAUAUUUCGAUAGCUACAAGUUUUUUCCAUCUUCAGCUUUCUGCCAAUAUUAUUGCAUGUGCAAGAGGCUUUCUUGCAAAUAGGCUGCAGAAAACAGUUUUAUGGGACAAAUAAUUAGUUUCUCUUAUUAGACUGACACAGAAAAUUCAGAUAUGUAAGUUCACAGUCAAAAGGUUCGUGCCAGACAAAGAACUGUUGGGGAAUUUGGGAUCUCCUGAGUUGAAGGGACAGACAAGCUUUGAUCUUUUAGAUGCUCCUGCCCCGAAGGAAAAUAUUUUUUCUCCUAUAAUCGAUAAACAAAAGCGGAUCUUUUUUCCCGUCUCUUGGAACUGGUAUUGUUUGAGAGUCUAGAAUUUAUUUCCUUCAUUUUUUUCGGAUCAUUGAGUUAGCUGCUUGGUUGGGUUUAUUCUUUCGUUUCUGAGGUGUGUUGUUGUGAGGUUGCAGUUUUGAUCUUCUUCGGAUUUUCUUUUUUCCGGCUUUCUUUUUUCCCAUUUCGAGAAAUUUGAUUCCUUGUAACUUUAGUAGGAAGCGCGGGGCUACAAGUUCGAUUGUAUUUUUAUCGUCAUGAAGACGGAAGUUGUGUAUAAGAUGGGGUAAGAGAAUCAGCACACUUGUUAUAUCUGCUUUGGUAACGAUAAAAAAGGUGUGAUUUUAUUUUAGUA
Punica granatum (pomegranate) is the source of this 3896-nucleotide non-coding RNA. Lineage: Eukaryota; Viridiplantae; Streptophyta; Magnoliopsida; Myrtales; Lythraceae. The record is from RefSeq and is a predicted model, not a curated record.